GAACACGACAGCAAGCGUGCAAACAUCCUCAUGACUUAAUGCCAGCCACAGAGAUCACAGAGAGCGUCAUGCUCCUUUCCACCGGAUAACUUCUACAGGGCAUCGCACAGGAAUGGAGCGCUUGCUGUACCAGGUCUCCCGGUGACAAUUCCAGACACUCACAGACGGAGGAGGAGCUGUCACUUGGCAAUGGCCAAGAGGCCUCCUUGGGAUCUUUUCAUGCCAGAAAGGUAGCAGAGCGUGAUGGAUACUCAUGGAAUGUGUGGGUCAUAAAUCCAGCCUGGGAACAGUAGAGAUGGCUUGUCUCUGCUCUACAUGAUCCUGGGCCUCAGCUGGAAAGAUUUGACACUGAGAACUGGAAUCAUCUGAAGGCUCAAUCUGGAGCCGGUGCUGGGAUGACUCAAAGGCUUGGACUACCCACUAAGGCAUGCCCACGUGGCCUCUCUCUGCACCUUGGACUUCCUCACAGCAUGGCGGCCUCAGGGUAGUGGGACUUCCUAGAGGUGGGGGGCUCUAGGCGCCAGUGUCCCACUGGCUCAGCCUCAGAAGUCACACAGUGCUGCUCUGUGCACUGGUUGAAGCAGUCACAAGCCCACUUUGAUCUCAAGGAAGGAAACAAAGAAUUGUGGAGCCAUGUU
Molecule: long non-coding RNA, 638 nt
Organism: Eptesicus fuscus (big brown bat)
Lineage: Eukaryota; Metazoa; Chordata; Mammalia; Chiroptera; Vespertilionidae
Exons: 2
Source: RefSeq, a predicted model, not a curated record